AUUGAACGCUGGCGGCAGGCCUAACACAUGCAAGUCGAACGGUAACAGGAAGAAGCUUGCUUCUUUGCUGACGAGUGGCGGACGGGUGAGUAAUGUCUGGGAAACUGCCUGAUGGAGGGGGAUAACUACUGGAAACGGUAGCUAAUACCGCAUAACGUCGCAAGACCAAAGAGGGGGACCUUCGGGCCUCUUGCCAUCGGAUGUGCCCAGAUGGGAUUAGCUAGUAGGUGGGGUAACGGCUCACCUAGGCGACGAUCCCUAGCUGGUCUGAGAGGAUGACCAGCCACACUGGAACUGAGCCACGGUCCAGACUCCUACGGGAGGCAGCAGUGGGGAAUAUUGCACAAUGGGCGCAAGCCUGAUGCAGCCAUGCCGCGUGUAUGAAGAAGGCCUUCGGGUUGUAAAGUACUUUCAGCGGGGAGGAAGGGAGUAAAGUUAAUACCUUUACUCAUUGACGUUACCCGCAGAAGAAGCACCGGCUAACUCCGUG
Molecule: ribosomal RNA, 490 nt
Filed under: uncultured bacterium
Lineage: Bacteria
Description: partial 16S ribosomal RNA
Rfam family: Bacterial small subunit ribosomal RNA
Source: RNAcentral